UACGUAGGGUGCAAGCGUUAAUCGGAAUUACUGGGCGUAAAGCGUGCGCAGGCGGUUAUAUAAGACAGAUGUGAAAUCCCCGGGCUUAACCUGGGAACUGCACUUGUGACUGCAAGGCUGGAGUACGGCAGAGGGGGAUGGAAUUCCGCGUGUAGCAGUGAAAUGCGUAGAUAUGCGGAGGAACACCGAUGGCGAAGGCAAUCCCCUGGGCCUGUACUGACGCUCAUGCACGAAAGCGUGGGGAGCAAACAGG
This 253-nucleotide ribosomal RNA is filed under the name uncultured bacterium. RNAcentral's name for it is "partial 16S ribosomal RNA". It matches the Rfam family "Bacterial small subunit ribosomal RNA", at positions 524 to 776 of the family's 1533-position model. The record is from RNAcentral.